This 253-nucleotide ribosomal RNA is filed under the name uncultured bacterium. RNAcentral's name for it is "partial 16S ribosomal RNA". It matches the Rfam family "Bacterial small subunit ribosomal RNA", at positions 524 to 776 of the family's 1533-position model. The record is from RNAcentral.
UACGGAGGGUGCAAGCGUUAUCCGGAUUCACUGGGUUUAAAGGGUGCGUAGGUGGGUUGGUAAGUCAGUGGUGAAAUCUCCGAGCUUAACUUGGAAACUGCCAUUGAUACUAUCAGUCUUGAAUAUUGUGGAGGUCAGCGGAAUAUGUCAUGUAGCGGUGAAAUGCGUAGAUAUCAUUUGGAACGCCAAUGGUGAAAACAGGUAGCUGGGAGUGUGCUGACGCUGAGACACGAAAGCCAGGGGAGCGAACGGG